CGGGUCGGCGGCCGCCGACCCGCCACUGACACCGGUACCUGACACGGCCGGUGCAG
This 56-nucleotide non-coding RNA is filed under the name Actinacidiphila yeochonensis CN732. Its description in RNAcentral is "L17-Actino-Proteobacteria ribosomal protein leader". It matches the Rfam family "L17-Actino-Proteobacteria ribosomal protein leader". The record is from RNAcentral. Lineage: Bacteria; Bacillati; Actinomycetota; Actinomycetes; Kitasatosporales; Streptomycetaceae.